GCCUACAACAUAGUGUUAAUGAACCAAAUCCCAUUAGAACUUCACAGUUAAGCAUGCUCGAGCUAGAGUAGUAUUGGGAUGGGUGACCACCCGAGAAGUCCUAUUACUUUUUAUGCC
Non-coding RNA from Picea glauca (white spruce), 117 nucleotides. The record is from Rfam. Lineage: Eukaryota; Viridiplantae; Streptophyta; Pinopsida; Pinales; Pinaceae.